GAAAUACACUACUACUUUGAUGGAAAUGCCUGCUGCUCAUUUUGCUAGAAACUGAACACAUCUCUCUACAUUUUUUGCUAUUCAGAUGUUAAAUACACUUUGGCAUCACACCGAAAUAUCCCCGGGAACAUAUUGUAUGAUUCAACGCUUUAAUACCUGGGUUAUUUUCCCCUGAAGUAGAUCCAGUAUCCCAUAACAGUGAGAGAAGGGUCUUCUCAAUCAAAGCCAUCAGUCAUUUCUAUCAGAAAAAAAAAUGGCAGAGAACUUACCCCACUCCUUGGCAGACGCUGUUGAAGGUCUCUAUUAGUGCCAGGAUUUAUCAAUUUGCAUCUCAUGAAUUUCUUUUCUUUCUAACAUUGUUAGCCACUUUAUGUGAUGUGAUCAACCGAUUGACAUACCGAAGGAACACGAUGCACUUCUCUUUAAAAAAACAAAAAACAUUUCUUCUGAUUUUUUCCUUUCAUCUUUGGAUACACGUUUAUAUUUCACUGAUUUUACUCAGUCUGCAAUAAGCUUGAGCCUCAACGCAAAGAAAAGCCAGCUGUUGUAUGAAAUAGAAAGGCAAAAUACAUAAUGCAUGCCAUAGAGAGGAUGCAUUGAGUUAGAUCUUAGCAAGCAUCCGCAUCUGCCACUUAGUCAUUGCUAAUAGCUUUUUUCCCAAGGCGAUUUAUUCUCCAAAGUUUUUAAAGCAAAAAUCACCAAAAUUGAGGUAGAAACUGCAUUCUAGGGUUUCUAUACUGUAUUUCUCUGGCUGUGUCUUUAUAGUACCUGUAUUCGUUCAUUUCUUACAGAAAAACAGUGCAGCUACUGAACUGGUUGACAAUCCCUCCAAAUACAGUCUCAUAAACAACUGGGGAAAAACGACAAUGGAAACAUAUCCAGAUUGUACUGAUUGUGGUCACACACAUCAAGAAAGCAACAUGCUAUCAAGAACCAUUGUCCCAGAGAAACUCAUUACACUGAAUUGUAUUUACACAGAAGAAUAAGUAACUUGGCUUGACAAUGCUAUUAAAUGCUAUCAACUCAUAUCACAGAGGAAAUGCUACAGUACACAGGAACAAAGCACAAAAAUACACUUCUUGAUGCAUCUGAGCUACGUAUGCUCACACUGUGAGUAUCUGGCGCUUUCUCCUUAAAAUUAGUAAGCAGAAUUUAUCCGUUGAGGGCAAGCUUGCUUUUUUGCUCAUCUAACAGGCCAAGGAGUAAGGAAGUGAUCAAACACAGCUGGCCAGAGCUUAAGAGUUGGGGCUGCCCAAGCUUUGUGCAGCUAACUACCACAAGAGAGGUUUGAUUUGAGGCUAAGGUUAAUGAUACAUAUACAUUGCUUCUUUUCUCCCCGAAAAGCUUGCAUUUCCACUCCUGUACAAAUGCUUCUGGGAGACACGCUUACAACUCCAGAGGAGCAAUGGAUAAUUUUCAGGAAAUUAAGGAUUUUACAUAUUUGUAUGUAUUUUAACUCCAAUAACCAACACCUCAGUGUAUUUACCAAAUGCCUUGAGGACAAUUACGAUGCAAACAUGAAAAGCAGUAACAGCUUUUUAUUUCCUAUCAGCCUUUUAUUUUCUCUUGUGACUGCAGACACUUCUCAACAUAAUGAAGAGCAACGUGAUCCCACACUGGUGCCUGGCAAGUUCACACUGAACAUCUCAAGACACAGCAGCUGAUGCCACACAUACCAUUAGCUCACACCAAAUGCUAACUGAAACCCCAACAUCUGCACAAGCUUUCUUUCAGAGCGGGGCAUAAAGCAUACCUUAAAUCCAAAACACUUGGGACCAAGUGCUGUCAUCUCGGUCAAAGAUGGCACUACACAAAAGCAUGAGCUUUGGAACACAGUUAAUUGUUUAAUGGAGUUUGAAAAACAUAGCAACACAGCACCAAAAUGAAAGGCGAUGCAACAGCUCUAGAUGGCACACGUGAAAGAACAGCACCACCUGGGUUUUUGGAAGCGUAAUAGGUGCAAGUAAAAAUCAAAAACAAGAAAUCAAGUUGAAGAACAUAAGGAUUACAUUUUGUCAAGCCUCUUUGGUCAUCUGAAAACACUCAAACUGUUUCAUACUUUUAUAGCCCAGGGUCAAGUCAUUCACAUACCUCAAUGCUGAUAAAAAUCAAAGCAAGCAGGCUGCAGUUUUCCUUUGCCUUCCCCCAGGAAGGGUCAGACAGCUAUAUUCAAAACUCUACACCAUAUUUAAUACACUGACACUGCCCACUCUUGAAGGUAUGUGCAAGAACUUACCUUCAGAAAUUUCCCAGCUUAAGUAUGCACUCUAAUCACACCAGUAUAACUUCCUUAAACGUGUACACAAAAUACACCAGCUGGAACCAGGGCACGUGAGUUACAGCUGUGCCAGUUUAAGUCAUUACUGUCUUUCAAGCUGCUUCCUCAGCUCAGCCCCUCCCCUGCAGCAGCCUGCUGGCAAGCAUGGUCAUGUAAUACUUGACAGUUCACUUCAGUCAGGUUUUCAUAUUUCUUCAGCUAACCUGGGCCAUGCUGACUGAAUCAGCUAUGAAUCCUAUUUAAAAAAAUCUGAUGAAAGACAUUUGAAGAAUUAUAGAAGAAAACCAGAAGAAUGGUUACACUAUUAAGCUUCCCUCGCCACCUAAGAUUCUGGAUACUUCAGCGUGAAUUUUAGGGCUCAACUGAUAAGUUUCUAUAUAAUUUAUAUAUAUAAUUUAGGACUACCAAGAACUACUCUCAUCCCCAAUCAGGUUCAAGUUUUUGCAAGUCUCUAGCAUUGCCUCCAGCGAAAGAUAAAACUGAAAAACAAGCAAAAAAGAAACACCGCACCCAAAGCUAUGAAAAUGAAGAAAAAAGUAACAGUAAGGAAGAGGAAUGUGCAUCUUUGACAUCAAUGUAACCGAAUAUAAACAAGUUGUUAUAAAUUCAGAGGUACUGUCCUGGGAGGUCACGUCAACUGGAAGUGUCAAGAAGUACAAAAAGGUGAUACUUUAGAGAAAAGCUUUUUGGUUGUUAUAAGCAAAGCAGUCUGUAGUAUCUCCAAUAGCAGUUUCAAGUGCAUUUUACCAUUAAGUUUGUUCACAUCAAGACUAGGCUAGGCUAACCGGGCCUUCUCUUUUGAGAAUCAUUGUGACCUAUCAGUGAGUCAAUAAUGACAAUAAUUCCUGCAAACAGAAGCUCUCCUUGCAACAGUUAAACUGGCAGACAAUUACAUUUGAAUUCUUCAUAACUUGUCUGGUACUCAGAUGCAAACAGGGAACAAAAAUUUCCCCUAUUAUACAUACUAACAUUCCUAUGUUCCUAUGGAGUUUCAGGCUGCAUUCUAAGAUAAAUGUCUCAUUAGAUUGUCACUGGAAUUUUGUUGGAUCAUCCUUAUAAAAGACCACAGUCCAAGCCCAGAAUGAAACACACUUGCAGCAGAAUGCAUUUUGAGAUUCCCAGAAAAGCAACACUUUGGAAAGGACCAGGAGAUGAAAAUCAGAAAAUAGAUGCAAGAGCAACCUAGCUUAAAGAGUUCUUAUGUCCUGCACUUCAAAUGAGGCAGUCCGUUAGCAAGUUUACCUCAGGUGACUCCAAAGCAAUAGCCUCGCAAAUAUACUACCAUCUGGCUGUGAGUUAUACAGGCAGAUCUACCAAGAAGAGGCACAGAACUAUCAUCACCCACAUUAAAAGGCCACUUGGCAUGUAUGUCAGGAACACUUAUCAGCAAGGUCACUGAAUUAGAAUGAGCUCUAAGAGCAACAUCUGAUACCAAAAAUAUCCUUGUCCUGGCAGCCUCAACACAACUUACUACUUCAACAAUUUUUGCAUGAAGAAAACAAGUCUUCUGGAUGUCAGCUGUCAUCACAUGAACAAGCUAAGGGACUGCCUGAAAACUGUGAACAUUCCACAGAGAGGAAAUCCUUACUUCUACUUUAUAUUAAAUUUAAUAAUAAAUAAUAUACAGAUUUAAUAUAAAUUUAAUCUUCAGCAAGAGACGUAUGAUAUACAGAUACAUAACAUAGAAUACAGAGGCGUAAGGAAAUAUUUCCAGGAAGGUAACAUCCUGCAUACAUCAGCUAUUUACCUGAGCUCUAGAAGGUAAACAGGUAUUACAGAGAGAUCAGUAGCCUCUGCUAAAUACUGUUUGAAAGGCAUCUGUAAUGAUUUAUCUGAAGAAAUCUGCUGAAAGAGCAUGAUGAUUCAUGGAGCUAGUACCCACCUCUUCAAUAUAAGUUAUAUAAAUUUGAAAAAUAAAU
This is a long non-coding RNA of Gallus gallus (chicken), 4197 nucleotides long. RefSeq lists it as uncharacterized. The transcript has 3 exons. Lineage: Eukaryota; Metazoa; Chordata; Aves; Galliformes; Phasianidae. The record is from RefSeq and is a predicted model, not a curated record.